This 320-nucleotide long non-coding RNA is filed under the name Phoenix dactylifera (date palm). Its description in RNAcentral is "long non-coding RNA (PDAC_LNC000647)". The record is from RNAcentral. Lineage: Eukaryota; Viridiplantae; Streptophyta; Magnoliopsida; Arecales; Arecaceae.
AAUUGAAUUGAUUCUUCUUAUAUAUUUUCAUUUACUUUGUCUUUCAUUUUUAUUUUCUUAUGCUCUAUACUCUAUUUGCUCCCUAUCCGGUGGAGUUGGGAAGGGGCACGAGGUACUACCACUAGCCUCCCUCUUGUGCCGUCCCUAAUAUGCCCUACACCGAAUAGUUGGGUCAAAUAGUGCCGGGUACUACCACUAGCCUCCCCAUUGGCACCAUCCCUAUGAUGAGCAAUAUAGAAAUGUUGAAAUAUUUACUUCAAACUCUCCCUGUUUAAGUGUAAUUAAUUACGGAUUUUAUCCCUUCCAAAUGUGUCGAAUAU